GACAGAGGUGCCGAGCGUUAGGCGGAAUCACUGGGCUUAAAGCGUGUGUAGGCGGCGGCGUAAGUACCUUGUGAAAUCCCUGGGCUCAACCCAGGAACUGCGUCCGAUACUGGAAGGCUUGAAUCCGGGAGAGGGAUGCGGAAUUCCAGGUGUAGCGGUGAAAUGCGUAGAUAUCUGGAGGAACACCGGUGGCGAAGGCGGCAUCCUGGACCGGUAUUGACGCUGAGGCGCGAAAGCCAGGGGAGCAAACGGG
Molecule: ribosomal RNA, 253 nt
Filed under: uncultured bacterium
Lineage: Bacteria
Description: partial 16S ribosomal RNA
Rfam family: Bacterial small subunit ribosomal RNA
Source: RNAcentral